GUAGGGGGCUAGCGUUGUCCGGAAUCAUUGGGCGUAAAGAGCGCGUAGGCGGCCAGAUAAGUCCGGUGUGAAAGUCAAAGGCUCAACCUUUGAAUGCCGCUGGAAACUGUCUGGCUAGAGUCCGGGAGGGGCGAGUGGAAUUCCUGGUGUAGCGGUGAAAUGCGCAGAUAUCAGGAGGAACACCAAUGGCGAAGGCAGCUCGCUGGAACGGUACUGACGCUGAGGCGCGAAAGCGUGGGGAGCAAACAGGAUUAGAUACCCUGGUAGUCCACGCUGUAAACGAUGGGCACUAGGUGUGGGAGGUGUCGACUCCUCCCGUGCCGUAGCUAACGCAUUAAGUGCCCCGCCUGGGGAGUACGGCCGCAAGGCUA
This 371-nucleotide ribosomal RNA is filed under the name uncultured bacterium. Its description in RNAcentral is "bacterial SSU rRNA". It matches the Rfam family "Bacterial small subunit ribosomal RNA", at positions 527 to 896 of the family's 1533-position model. The record is from RNAcentral.